RNAcentral lists this transfer RNA (73 nucleotides) under Mesocricetus auratus (golden hamster). It matches the Rfam family "tRNA". From Rfam's summary of the family: Transfer RNA (tRNA) molecules are approximately 80 nucleotides in length. Their secondary structure includes four short double-helical elements and three loops (D, anti-codon, and T loops). The record is from Rfam by way of RNAcentral. Lineage: Eukaryota; Metazoa; Chordata; Mammalia; Rodentia; Cricetidae.
UGUCGUGUAGCUCAGUUGGUAGAGUGCUUGCCUAUGAUGCAUGAAGUCCUGGCUUCAGUCCCAAGCACCACAU